RNAcentral lists this ribosomal RNA (407 nucleotides) under uncultured bacterium. RNAcentral's name for it is "partial 16S ribosomal RNA". It matches the Rfam family "Bacterial small subunit ribosomal RNA", at positions 30 to 526 of the family's 1533-position model. The record is from RNAcentral.
AUUGAACGCUAGCGGGAUGCCUUACACAUGCAAGUCGAACGGAGUGGCGAACGGGUGAGUAAUGUAUCGGAACGUGCCCAGUAGCGGGGGAUAACUACGCGAAAGCGUAGCUAAUACCGCAUACUAUUGGAGCGGCCGAUGUCGGAUGAGCUAGUUGGUGGGGUCACGGGUAACCAGGGCGACGAUCCGUAGCUGGUGUGGGAGGCCGACCAGCCACACUGGGACUGAGACACGGCCCAGACUCCUACGGGAGGCAGCAGGGGGGAAUUUUGUGCAAUGGGGGAAACCCUGAUCCAGCCAUCCCGCGUGUGCGAUGAAGGCCUUCGGGUUGUAAAGCACUUUUGGCAGGAAAGCGGUACCUGCAGAAUAAGCACCGGCUAACUACGUGCCAGCAGCCGCGGUAAUAC